AGGAAACCAGACAGUUUGGAAAUUGCAGACUUUCAAACACCAACUUCAGAUGGAUGGCAGCAGUUGUGGUGUUCUGAUAUUAAAUGUAAAAAGCUAACAUUAUUAUCUUAAAUCCUAUCUUUUUGUGUUUAAUUUUUACAUUACAUCUGUGCUUUGUUUUUCAGUUUGCAGAAAAGUACCUUACAAGUGGAUCAAUUGAUUAGGUGGAAACCAGCCCAGCAUCUAUAAGAGCAGAAAGACUGGAGAUUGCUGGCCUCCUUAUGGAAAAUCAGGGUAACAUAGAUGAAUACUGCAUAAUAUGCAGCAUGAUGGACCUGCAGUCAGCCAACACCACAAUUAACAUGGUGCAAUGUGAUCACGGCAACAGACGGGCACACACUGAAUGCACUCCGUACUCUGCUGAAGAGUUAUCAACAGAUGGGCACACACUGAAUGCACUCUGUACUCUGCUGAAGAGUUAUCAACAGACGGGCACACACUGAAUGCACUCCGUACUCUGCUGAAGAGUUAUCAACAGACGGGCACACACUGAAUGCACUCCGUACUCUGCUGAAGAGUUAUCAACAGAUGGGCACACACUGAAUGCACACCGUACUCUGCUGAAGAGUUAUCAACAG
This is a long non-coding RNA of Acipenser ruthenus (sterlet), 617 nucleotides long. RefSeq lists it as uncharacterized. The record is from RefSeq and is a predicted model, not a curated record. Lineage: Eukaryota; Metazoa; Chordata; Actinopteri; Acipenseriformes; Acipenseridae. The transcript is spliced from 3 exons.